RNAcentral lists this ribosomal RNA (476 nucleotides) under Candidatus Scalindua wagneri. Its description in RNAcentral is "bacterial SSU rRNA". It matches the Rfam family "Bacterial small subunit ribosomal RNA", at positions 365 to 832 of the family's 1533-position model. Lineage: Bacteria; Pseudomonadati; Planctomycetota; Candidatus Brocadiia; Candidatus Brocadiales; Candidatus Scalinduaceae. The record is from RNAcentral.
UUCGCAAUGCCCGAAAGGGUGACGAUGCGACGCCGCGUGAGCGAAGAAGGCCCUAGGGUUGUAAAGCUCUGUCGAGGGUUAUGAAAUAUAGAUGGGUUAAUACCCCAUUUAUUUGACAAAAGCCCAAAAGGAAGCCACGGCUAACUCUGAGCCAGCAGCCGCGGUAAUACAGAGGUGGCGAGCGUUGUUCGGUAUUAUUGGGCGUAAAGAGCACGUAGGUGGUUUUGUAAGUCAGGUGUGAAAGCCUUCUGUUCAAAGGAAGAACGGCAUCUGAAACUGCAGAUCUUGAGUGUAGGAGGGGAGAGUGGAACUUCCGGUGGAGCGGUGAAAUGCGUAGAUAUCAGAAGGAACGUCGGCGGCGAAAGCGACUCUCUGGCCUAUUACUGACACUGAGGUGCGAAAGUUAGGGGAGCAAACGGGAUUAGAUACCCCGGUAGUCCUAACCGUAAACGAUGGGCACUAAGUAGAGGGGUUUU